RNAcentral lists this ribosomal RNA (401 nucleotides) under Salmonella enterica. RNAcentral describes it as "partial 23S ribosomal RNA". It matches the Rfam family "Bacterial large subunit ribosomal RNA", at positions 791 to 1190 of the family's 2925-position model. Lineage: Bacteria; Pseudomonadati; Pseudomonadota; Gammaproteobacteria; Enterobacterales; Enterobacteriaceae. The record is from RNAcentral. RNAcentral also lists the same sequence under 1 other name.
GAAAAAUUAGCGGAUGACCUGUGGCUGGGGGUGAAAGGCCAAUCAAACCGGGAGAUAGCUGGUUCUCCCCGAAAGCUAUUUAGGUAGCGCCUCGUGAAUUCAUCUCCGGGGGUAGAGCACUGUUUCGGCCAGGGGGCCAUCCCGGCUUACCAACCCGAUGCAAACUGCGAAUACCGGAGAAUGUUAUCACGGGAGACACACGGCGGGUGCUAACGUCCGUCGUGAAGAGGGAAACAACCCAGACCGCCAGCUAAGGUCCCAAAGUCAUGGUUAAGUGGGAAACGAUGUGGGAAGGCCCAGACAGCCAGGAUGUUGGCUUAGAAGCAGCCAUCAUUUAAAGAAAGCGUAAUAGCUCACUGGUCGAGUCGGCCUGCGCGGAAGAUGUAACGGGGCUAAACCAU